CAUUCGUAUUGCGACGUUAGAGGUGAAAUUCUUGGAUCGUCGCAAGACGGACAGAAGCGAAAGCAUUUGCCAAAAAUGUUUUCAUUAAUCAAGAACGAAAGUUAGAGGUUCGAAGGCGAUCAGAUACCGCCCUAGUUCUAACCAUAAACGAUGCCAGCUAGCGAUCCGCCGAAGUUCCUCCGAUGACUCGGCGGGCAGCUUCCGGGAAACCAAAGCUUUUGGG
RNAcentral lists this non-coding RNA (223 nucleotides) under Trachymyrmex septentrionalis. Its description in RNAcentral is "Eukaryotic small subunit ribosomal RNA". It matches the Rfam family "Eukaryotic small subunit ribosomal RNA", at positions 889 to 1111 of the family's 1831-position model. The record is from Rfam by way of RNAcentral. Lineage: Eukaryota; Metazoa; Arthropoda; Insecta; Hymenoptera; Formicidae.